UUGCAGGACAAAACGCAUGGCGUUUUGAACAGCGCUUGCGCUGGCCCCGAAGGGGCGAGGCCCAUGGAUGGGCCGAGGUGUAAAGCCAAC
RNAcentral lists this non-coding RNA (90 nucleotides) under Brenneria goodwinii. Its description in RNAcentral is "Aggregatibacter sRNA 22". It matches the Rfam family "Aggregatibacter sRNA 22". Lineage: Bacteria; Pseudomonadati; Pseudomonadota; Gammaproteobacteria; Enterobacterales; Pectobacteriaceae. The record is from Rfam by way of RNAcentral.